Long non-coding RNA from Neopsephotus bourkii (Bourke's parrot), 1014 nucleotides. RefSeq lists it as uncharacterized. The transcript has 6 exons. The record is from RefSeq and is a predicted model, not a curated record. NCBI's taxonomy places the organism in Eukaryota, Metazoa, Chordata, Aves, Psittaciformes, Psittacidae.
GGCGUUCACUUGGAUGAAUUUCUUGUCAGAAGACAUGUAAGGAUCAAAGUGUCAGAGACCUGACAGCAAGUACAGGUGAUUCGGAAUUGUGUGAGAAGAUAAUCUCAUAAAAUCAUGAGGAGAAAGUGCAUGUGACUGAAUGCAACUUUACAGAUGUCAUCUGAAAAGUUAUCUGGUGUUUGAAGUGCAGUAGAAAAUGACAGUAUUUAUAAAAUACAGCAUGUAAUGAUAACUACUACUUUCUGAGCAUAUAAUGCAAAAAAUACACUUUCAGCAGUUGCAUAGAAAAAACCAAGUGUGGGUCCUGUCAUCCAAAUAACCAUAAAGCUGUCAAUGGAAACUUUGCUUACUGUGCUUCUUGAUAGGAUUGUUUAUGGUUGACCACAUGGUCCAUUUAACCCAUUACUAUGUCUUGUGCUUGCUUCAUCAGAAGAGCUUGAGGUCAUGGACUAAAGAACACUUGUGCUUUGUAAGAGGAUAUGCCAUUAAACUUCCUCAAGGCUGACAAGUAAUUUCUAGUAUGGCUGAAUUUAAAUGCUUGUGAAAACUAUUCCCAUUUUCUUAUCAACAAAGCAUCAUCAUCAGCACAUCUCGAGGAUGAAAAUACAUUUGGAAGCAGCCACCAAAAGAGCAAUGCAACUGAAAUAUUCUCCUCAGGACAAUAAGCAAGCUCUUUAAAGUACCAGUUGACUGGGCUCUUGAGAAAUGGAGUGGAAUGGAGGGGAGUAACUGCAGAAACUUUAGAAAUAGAAGCUAAAGGUUGAGAAUUCAAGAGGACUGCAAAUAUGAAGGUGAGUAAAAAGAGCUGAGAGGAGUCUAAAAUUUCAGGAAAGGGAAGCAGGGGACCCAGGAGACUUUCAGACUGCAGCUGACAGAAUAAAGAUUAGGAAGGGCAGAAUAAAGAACAGGAAAGAACAUAGUAGAAAGAAUCAAGUUUUGGAAGUAGGAAAAAGAAUUUAUCCACAUUAUCUUCUGGAGUCUGCAUUUAGAGCUGGACAACAGUAGAUAAAUGAG